This is a long non-coding RNA of Sebastes umbrosus (honeycomb rockfish), 162 nucleotides long. RefSeq lists it as uncharacterized. Lineage: Eukaryota; Metazoa; Chordata; Actinopteri; Perciformes; Sebastidae. The record is from RefSeq and is a predicted model, not a curated record. The transcript is spliced from 3 exons.
AAGUGUUGCAGGAUUUUAUCCAGAAGAACCUGCUAGAGUUCGACCGAGCUAGGACGCAAUAUUCUACAAGUUUGUCUGCUUGCAUUCUCCUUUGUCCUUUGUAUUGUUCUCUUGCUGCAUGCCACAUGGCUGCCUUUUGUCUGAAUCCUUUCUUCUCACCCU